UACGUAGGGGGCAAGCGUUGUCCGGAUUUAUUGGGCGUAAAGAGCGUGUAGGCGGCCAGGUAGGUCGGUUGUGAAAACUCGAGGCUCAACCUCGAGAUGUCGACCGAAACCAUCUGGCUAGAGUCCGGAAGAGGAGAAUGGAAUUCCUGGUGUAGCGGUGAAAUGCGCAGAUAUCAGGAAGAACACCAAUGGCGAAGGCAGCUCUCUGGGACGGUACUGACGCUGAGACGCGAAAGCGUGGGGAGCGAAUAGG
RNAcentral lists this ribosomal RNA (253 nucleotides) under uncultured bacterium. RNAcentral's name for it is "partial 16S ribosomal RNA". It matches the Rfam family "Bacterial small subunit ribosomal RNA", at positions 524 to 776 of the family's 1533-position model. The record is from RNAcentral.